This 83-nucleotide transfer RNA is filed under the name Flavobacteriales bacterium. RNAcentral's name for it is "tRNA-Leu". It matches the Rfam family "tRNA". Rfam says of the family: Transfer RNA (tRNA) molecules are approximately 80 nucleotides in length. Lineage: Bacteria; Pseudomonadati; Bacteroidota; Flavobacteriia; Flavobacteriales. The record is from RNAcentral.
GCCCAGGUGCUGAAACUGGUAGACAGGCAUGAUUGAGGGUCAUGUAUCCUAUGGAUGUGCGGGUUCGAAUCCCGCUCUGGGCA